GCUGGUGUAGUGGUAUCAUGC
Molecule: microRNA, 21 nt
Filed under: Gallus gallus (chicken)
Lineage: Eukaryota; Metazoa; Chordata; Aves; Galliformes; Phasianidae
Description: microRNA Ros-gga
Source: RNAcentral